GACGAACGCUGGCGGCAGGCUUAACACAUGCAAGUCGAGCGCCCCGCAAGGGGAGCGGCAGACGGGUGAGUAACGCGUGGGAACGUACCCUUUGCUACGGAAUAGCUCCGGGAAACUGGAAUUAAUACCGUAUGUGCCCUACGGGGGAAAGAUUUAUCGGCAAAGGAUCGGCCCGCGUUGGAUUAGCUAGUUGGUGGGGUAAUGGCCUACCAAGGCGACGAUCCAUAGCUGGUCUGAGAGGAUGAUCAGCCACAUUGGGACUGAGACACGGCCCAAACUCCUACGGGAGGCAGCAGUGGGGAAUAUUGGACAAUGGGCGCAAGCCUGAUCCAGCCAUGCCGCGUGAGUGAUGAAGGCCUUAGGGUUGUAAGGCUCUUUCACCGGAGAAGAUAAUGACGGUAUCCGGAGAAGAAGCCCCGGCUAACUUCGUGCCAGCCGCCGCGGUAA
This 447-nucleotide ribosomal RNA is filed under the name uncultured bacterium. RNAcentral describes it as "partial 16S ribosomal RNA". It matches the Rfam family "Bacterial small subunit ribosomal RNA", at positions 28 to 523 of the family's 1533-position model. The record is from RNAcentral.